RNAcentral lists this ribosomal RNA (465 nucleotides) under uncultured Klebsiella sp. RNAcentral describes it as "bacterial SSU rRNA". It matches the Rfam family "Bacterial small subunit ribosomal RNA", at positions 338 to 795 of the family's 1533-position model. Lineage: Bacteria; Pseudomonadati; Pseudomonadota; Gammaproteobacteria; Enterobacterales; Enterobacteriaceae. The record is from RNAcentral.
CCUACGGGGGGCUGCAGUGGGGAAUAUUGCACAAUGGGCGCAAGCCUGAUGCAGCCAUGCCGCGUGUGUGAAGAAGGCCUUCGGGUUGUAAAGCACUUUCAGCGGGGAGGAAGGCGGUGAGGUUAAUAACCUCAUCGAUUGACGUUACCCGCAGAAGAAGCACCGGCUAACUCCGUGCCAGCAGCCGCGGUAAUACGGAGGGUGCAAGCGUUAAUCGGAAUUACUGGGCGUAAAGCGCACGCAAGCGGUCUGUCAAGUCGGAUGUGAAAUCCCCGGGCUCAACCUGGGAACUGCAUUCGAAACUGGCAGGCUAGAGUCUUGUAGAGGGGGGUAGAAUUCCAGGUGUAGCGGUGAAAUGCGUAGAGAUCUGGAGGAAUACCGGUGGCGAAGGCGGCCCCCUGGACAAAGACUGACGCUCAGGUGCGAAAGCGUGGGGAGCAAACAGGAUUAGAUACCCCGGUAGUC